GUUUUGAAAUGUAAUGUUUAGCUGUUACUUAAAGAAAAUCAAAUAUUAUAUAUACGCUUGAAAAAAUAAAAUAAU
RNAcentral lists this transfer RNA (75 nucleotides) under Staphylococcus aureus. Its description in RNAcentral is "tRNA-Asn-GTT". Lineage: Bacteria; Bacillati; Bacillota; Bacilli; Caryophanales; Staphylococcaceae. The record is from RNAcentral.